GAUGAAGAACGUAGCGAAAUGCGAUACUUGGUGUGAAUUGCAGAAUCCCGUGAACCAUCGAGUCUUUGAACGCAAGUUGCGCCCGAAGCCAUUAGGCCGAGGGCACGCCUGCCUGGGCGUCACACGUCGUUGCCCCCCCAUCUACUCCUUCGGGAUUGCGGGGGGCGGGUGAUGGCCUCCCGUGCGCCUCGUCGCGCGGUUGGCAUAAAUGCCAAGUCCUCGGCGACGCACGCCACGACAAUCGGUGGUUGCGAAACCUCGGUUGCCCGUCGUGUGCGGUCGUCGCGCAUCGAGGGCUCGAAAAAAUUGUCGGGCUCCGGCUCGGCUUUCAACGCGACCCCAGGUCAGGCGGGGUUACCCGCUGAAUUUAAGCAUAUCAAUAAGCGGAGGA
This 391-nucleotide unclassified non-coding RNA is filed under the name soil metagenome. Its description in RNAcentral is "partial contains 5.8S ribosomal RNA, internal transcribed spacer 2, and large subunit ribosomal RNA". The stretch from base 1 to 122 matches the Rfam family "5.8S ribosomal RNA", at positions 35 to 154 of the family's 154-position model. The record is from RNAcentral.